Molecule: ribosomal RNA, 253 nt
Filed under: uncultured bacterium
Lineage: Bacteria
Description: partial 16S ribosomal RNA
Rfam family: Bacterial small subunit ribosomal RNA
Source: RNAcentral
UACGUAGGGGGCAAGCGUUGUCCGGAUUUAUUGGGCGUAAAGAGCGUGUAGGCGGUUUGGUAGGUCCGUUGUGAAAACUCGAGGCUCAACCUCGAGACGCCGAUGGAAACCAUCAGACUAGAGUCCGGAAGAGGAGAGUGGAAUUCCUGGUGUAGCGGUGAAAUGCGCAGAUAUCAGGAAGGACACCCGUGGCUAAGGCGGCUCUCUAGUACGGUACUGACGCUGAGGAGCGAAAGCAUGGGGAGCGAACAGG